GACGAACGCUGGCGGCGUGCUUAACACAUGCAAGUCGAACGGAAAGGCCCUGCUUUUGUGGGGUGCUCGAGUGGCGAACGGGUGAGUAACACGUGAGUAACCUGCCCUUGACUUUGGGAUAACUUCAGGAAACUGGGGCUAAUACCGGAUAGGAGCUCCUGCUGCAUGGUGGGGGUUGGAAAGUUUCGGCGGUUGGGGAUGGACUCGCGGCUUAUCAGCUUGUUGGUGGGGUAGUGGCUUACCAAGGCUUUGACGGGGAGCCGUCCUGAGAGGGUGACCGGCCACAUUGGAACUGAGACACGGCACAGACGUCUACGGGAGGCAGUAGUGGGGAAUAUUGCAUGAUGGGCCGAAGCCUGAUGCAGCAACGCCGCGUGCGUGAAGACGGCCUUCGGGUUGUAAACCGCUUCCGCCUUUGACGAAGGGUGAGUGACAGUAAUGGGUAAAGAAGCACCGGCUAAGUACGUG
This 468-nucleotide ribosomal RNA is filed under the name uncultured bacterium. RNAcentral's name for it is "partial 16S ribosomal RNA". It matches the Rfam family "Bacterial small subunit ribosomal RNA", at positions 28 to 507 of the family's 1533-position model. The record is from RNAcentral.